Molecule: ribosomal RNA, 341 nt
Filed under: uncultured Pseudomonadota bacterium
Lineage: Bacteria; Pseudomonadati; Pseudomonadota
Description: bacterial SSU rRNA
Rfam family: Bacterial small subunit ribosomal RNA
Source: RNAcentral
AAUGAACGCUGGCGGCGUGCAUAACACAUGCAAGUCGAACGAGAAACCCCGGGCUUGCUCGGGGGAGUAAAGUGGCGCACGGGUGAGUAACGCGUGGGUAACCUACCUUUGUCUGGGGGAUAACCUACCGAAAGGUGGGCUAAUACCGCAUAACGUGGUCGGGUUGUGACCUGAUCACCAAAGAUGGCCUCUCCAUGGAAGCUAUCAGGUAAAGAUGAGCCCGCGUCCCAUUAGCUAGUUGGUAAGGUAAUGGCUUACCAAGGCUACGAUGGGUAGCUGGUCUGAGAGGAUGGCCAGCCACACUGGAACUGGAACACGGUCCAGACUCCUACGGGAGGCAG